RNAcentral lists this ribosomal RNA (803 nucleotides) under uncultured bacterium. RNAcentral's name for it is "bacterial SSU rRNA". It matches the Rfam family "Bacterial small subunit ribosomal RNA", at positions 544 to 1353 of the family's 1533-position model. The record is from RNAcentral.
CCAGGAUUUAUCGGGUUUAAAGGGUGCGCAGGCUGAUCGGUAAGUCAUGGGUGAAAAGUCACUGCUUAACAGUGAUCGUGCCUAUGAUACUGCCGGACUAGAGUUUAAGAGGUGUAACUGGAAUGUGAUGUGUAGCGGUGAAAUGCUUAGAUAUGUCACAGAACGCCAAUCGUGAAGACAGGUUACAAACUUAAUACUGACGCUCAUGCACGAAAGCGUGGGGAUCAAACAGGAUUAGAUACCCUGGUAGUCCACGCUGUAAACGAUGAUCACUCGUUGUUGGGUAGUAAUACUCAGUGGCUAAGCGAAAGCGAUAAGUGAUCCACCUGGGGAGUACGAUCGCAAGGUUGAAACUCAAAGGAAUUGACGGGGGCCCGCACAAGCGGAGGAGCAUGUGGUUUAAUUCGAUGAUACGCGAGGAACCUUACCCGGGCUUGAACGUAAGACGAAUAUACAGGAAACUGUAUAGCCUACGGGCGUCUUGCGAGGUGCUGCAUGGUUGUCGUCAGCUCGUGCCGUGAGGUGUUAGGUUAAGUCCUGCAACGAGCGCAACCCUUACACAUAGUUGCCAGCACGUAAUGGUGGGGACUCUAUGGGAACUGCCUACGCAAGUAGAGAGGAAGGUGGGGAUGACGUCAAAUCAGCACGGCCCUUAUGUUCGGGGCUACACACGUGCUACAAUGGCAUAUACAGAGGGCAGCCACUACGCGAGUAGGCGCUAAUCCUCAAAGUAUGUCUCAGUUCGGAUUGGAGUCUGUAACUCGACUCUAUGAAGUUGGAUUCGCUAGUAAUCGCGCAUCAGC